CUACGUGCCAGCAGCCGCGGUCAUACGUAGGGUGCAAGCAUUAUCCGGAGUGACUGGGCGUAAAGAGUUGCGUAGGCGGUUUAAUAAGUGAAUAGUGAAACCUGGUGGCUCAACCAUACAGACUAUUAUUCAAACUGUUAAACUCGAGAAUGGUAGAGGUAACUGGAAUUUCUAGUGUAGGAGUGAAAUCCGUAGAUAUUAGAAGGAACACCGAUGGCGUAGGCAGGUUACUGGGCCAUUUCUGACGCUAAGGCACGAAAGCGUGGGGAGCGAACCGGAUUAGAUACCCGGGUAGUCCACGCCGUAAACGAUGGAUACUAGCUGUUGGAGGUAUCGACCCCUUCAGUAGCGAAGCUAACGCGUUAAGUAUCCCGCCUGUGGAGUACGGCCGCAAGGCUAAAACAUAAAGGAAUUGACGGGGACCCGCACAAGCGGUGGAUUAUGUUCUUUAAUUCGAUGAUAACCGAAGAACCUUACCAGGGCUUGACAUCCAG
RNAcentral lists this ribosomal RNA (494 nucleotides) under uncultured bacterium. Its description in RNAcentral is "bacterial SSU rRNA". It matches the Rfam family "Bacterial small subunit ribosomal RNA", at positions 501 to 991 of the family's 1533-position model. The record is from RNAcentral.